AGGAAAAGAAACUAACAAGGAUUCCCCUAGUAACGGCGAGUGAAGCGGGAAGAGCUCAAAUUUGAAAUCUGGUAGCCUUCGGUUGCCCGAGUUGUAAUCUAGAGAAGUGUUUUCCGUGCCGGCCCAUGUACAAGUCCCUUGGAACAGGGCGUCAUAGAGGGUGAGAAUCCCGUCCUUGACAUGGACCCCCGGUGCUUUGUGAUACACUUUCAACGAGUCGAGUUGUUUGGGAAUGCAGCUCAAAAUGGGUGGUGAAUUCCAUCUAAAGCUAAAUAUUGGCGAGAGACCGAUAGCGAACAAGUACCGUGAGGGAAAGAUGAAAAGCACUUUGGAAAGAGAGUUAAACAGUACGUGAAAUUGUUGAAAGGGAAACGAUUGAAGUCAGUCAUGCUCUUGGGACUUACCUCCCUUGAGUGGGGUCAACAUCAGUUUUGAUCGAUGGAUAAAGGCACGGGGAAGGUAGCACUCUCGGGUGAACUUAUAGCCUCGCGUCAUAUACAUUGAUUGGGACUGAGGAACGCAGCAUGCCUUAUGGCCGGGAUUCGUCCACG
This 551-nucleotide ribosomal RNA is filed under the name Naganishia albida. RNAcentral describes it as "partial large subunit ribosomal RNA". It matches the Rfam family "Eukaryotic large subunit ribosomal RNA", at positions 54 to 592 of the family's 3401-position model. The record is from RNAcentral. Lineage: Eukaryota; Fungi; Basidiomycota; Tremellomycetes; Filobasidiales; Filobasidiaceae.